Capra hircus (goat) is the source of this 3770-nucleotide long non-coding RNA. RefSeq lists it as uncharacterized. The record is from RefSeq and is a predicted model, not a curated record. NCBI's taxonomy places the organism in Eukaryota, Metazoa, Chordata, Mammalia, Artiodactyla, Bovidae. The transcript has 2 exons.
UUGAGAGCUUUGAUGGGCCACUUUCCAUAAACACGGGAUGCACUCGGGGCAGCCUGAGCAACAGGAGUGGUCAUCUUGUUGGUGGGGAGGGUGAAUGUAGAUUUUUUUGGAAUAGCCUGGAAAGAGCACAGGCUGAUCCACCAGAGUCCCCGGGUACUAUAAAUACGAAAUAAGGAAGGGAAGCGAGGACAGUACAGGUUAGGAGUGUCUACGCAGGGAAGAGAGAUUCUAGAAGCAACGAACCUCCUCCUCCCCGGGCAGGAGAGGCGAACACUGUGGGAAUACCAGAACGACGGCUGGUUCCUGCAUUUUUGUAACUCAGUUAACCUAUAGGCCCGAGGCCAAAGUCCAGUCGAGAAAAGUUUAUACAAAAUGACGAUCAGAAGUAUCAAUUGAUGGGAUAAAAUGACCAGGUCGUGAGAAUACCAGUAGGAGAGAAUCCCCUCCAUUGUGUCCAGGGCUUGCAGGCUGUCCGGCGCUUAGUAGGACUUUGAAGGGUCUGAGGGCUCCUCCGUGUGGAGUGAGUGAUGGGGAAAGAGGGAGGGUUCAUUCUUUGGGGGCUCUAGAUGGAUUUUGAAGGAGGUCAUUGAAAGGUUUGGACCUGGUGGAGAAGGGAAGGAGAAGUGGGAAUGCACAGCUUGAAUCUUUUAAAAGCAUAAAAUGUGGAGGGCUGCUGGCUCAGGUCAAGUAGCUGAAGAGAACUGAGUGCCAGCCUCUGUCCUCGGGGGUGCAAACUGGGUUAGUGGCCUAUGCUUGUACAUACCAUCAAACCCUAGGUCAUUCCAGUAAACAGGCUCUUAAAAGCUUAUUUCUUUGUCUCUUCCUCCUCAGAAAAAUAGUUGAUUUCUUGAGCCACACAUUACUGAUAGCAGGAAGGUAGAGCCCCGUAGAUAUGUACCCAAGCUUGGCCUAGGAAGGUGAAGGGAUUUGCUCAAGGUCAAAUGGUUGGUUCGUGACACACCAGAUGUCCCUGAUUCGUGAACAGCCUGUAGUGUCCAAGCCUAAAUACUCACUCACUCACUCCUUAACAAUGACUUAUAUGCAGAACUCUUAAGUUAUUUUUCAGAUGAAACUGGGGUAUCUGUUGGAUUAGUGAAAGAUCUUUGAGUAAAUUAUGUCCGUAGACCUGUAUGUCCCUUGGGUAACCACACACUUGCCCAGUAGUGGUAAAGAUAACAGCGUACCCGGGCUGUGGAGGUUCAACCUUGAUGUCUUAUGGAUUCUAAUAACAUGUCUAGGGGCUAGCAAACCCAAAGUUGGAAUUGUAACUGGUUAACACAGGCUGAUAUUCUGCUUAUCUGCCGAGUUGUCAUUAGUAUUUUGAGUACUCUGAUGAAUUGAACAUUAGGGAGGGUGUAUCUGUGUGUGUGUGUCUGUGUUCUGGUGGUGGUGGUGGUGGUGGUAAUUCUUCUGGGAUAAAAUAACUGCUUUUGUCCCUAGUGACUUACUCUGAUAGUCCAAAUGUUCAGAAGGAUAUUUUAUGCUGAAAUGUUGGGAUUUUUCCACAUGGGGAUUAAAAUGUGGGUGGAGUGGUGACUAAAGCCCUGCUGAUAAUUGGUUAACCAGGAAGCCUGUGCUGGCAGCUAAUUUUUAAGGUCAUUGUUCAUUUCUUCCCCUCCUCUUCCCACUACUGUUGGGGGCCCAGGUUUUGACUGUAUUUCAGGUGAUUUUAGUUCUCCUUAAAAAAUCGAUCUCCUAAGCUUUGGGUAAUGAAAUGAAAGAACCAGCUCCUGCUGAAUCAUUCCUGGAUGAAAUAGGAUUUUGUCCUUUUUUUUUUUUUUUUUUCUUUUCAUACUGGCUGCUUUUGCCAGUGACUUGGCUUAAAUCCGCAGCUCGGCCUACCACCCACAAUUCUUUAGCCAACCAAAGAUAUGCAAGAAACUUUAUUUUUCUCAAGUUUACAGAAGACCAGGCUGGGGAGGAGGGAUGUCACUAGGCCUUUCCCCGCAGUUCUCCAUUGUUAGAACAUUACCUUAGUUACCUAGCUUAUGGGUAGUGAUGUAAAGAGGAGCUGGGGAAAAGGUGCAGGUUACACAAGGUAUACACAUGUCAGCAGAAAUCCUGGUUGCAGGGUAACACUGUCAGCUGCCCUUUUGGAGCUCAACUUGAAAGUGGCUGAAUCUCCUAUGGCUGCUGUAAAGCCAGGACUUUAGACUGAAAACAUCAUAAGGCAGAGUUCUCAGGAUGGAAAGUUGCCUGGGCCCAGCUGGAACAAGUGGAGUGGUUACGGGAGGAACUGGGGACAGAGAAGGUUGGGGUUGCAUCACAUCCUUUGCCUGUCAAGUGUUCAGUGUAUCUGAGUGUGAUUUUUUUUUUUUCCCCCCUGCCACCCGCCCCCACUUUCUGUACCCUGCUGCUGCUCUGAGGGUGUAUUCUCUUUGGGUAACUUACUGUUGGUUAAUUUGUAGUUUUCUCUGCCAGUAAGUUUGUAACACUCUGGUGACUCACCUUUGGGUGGGAGGGUAGGAAAGGGGAGGUCUGCAUCAUAAAUCUGAGAAGAUUGAGAGUAGGCUCAGCCUGACAACCCCCCUCCCCCAAAAGGAGGGGGAGGAAUUUUUAAAAACCUAGUAAAAUGUUUAGGCAGGGGAAGAGUAAAGCUUAAAAUACCCAGCCCCCACCCCCUGCCCAAGUGUUAUUCCUAAAUUGCAUUUUAAAAAGAAAAAAGUGGAUUCAACAUUACAUAGCCCAUCCAUUCUCCACCCCAGAACCCUUUUAGAGCAUUGUUUGCUGGCUAUGAUUUUAGCAGUGAAUGAAUAGAUUAGUGACUAGUGACUCUGUUCAGUCAGGCUGUGUUCUUUCACAUAGUAUAUCCAAAUUUAAGACUGACAGUGGCUUUAAAGAUAAUUUUCUUGAAAGGAGUUUGUGUGGAAAAGUAAAACUAGUUUCUUUAUUUAAAACAAAAAGGGUUAUAAAAGCCCCGAAGCGUCCGUUUCUCAUCUGACCCUUAGCUAGAGUACUCACACGUUUAUAGAGUGCAGGGCAAGUGAGAGUGGCACCUGUUAUUGUUGGGCUUUUGGCAUUGAGAGAUCAAGCAUGUAUCAAGUAUGGGUUUGUGCUGUUCACCAGUUAAGUCUUAAGCCUUUUCAAAGCUAGAAAAUAGUUUUUCUCUCACCUGAAAAAAAAAAAAUACUGAGGGUUCGAAAGAAUGGAAAGUAUUAUGAAUUACCCACCCCAGGGAGGCCAAGUGAAAGUGUCAGUGGACUCAGCUGGGAUGAUGGCUUUUUAAGUUCUCAUCUACUUUCACUUUUCAGGUAAAAGGCUUUACAUUUUCAGAGUCUUGGUCAAGGUCGUAUGAAAUGAAAUGGGCUUUUCAGCCCUCUGUGAGGGGUGGGAGGACGAGCAUCUGUGCUGUGGUGCCUCCUCCUAGCUGCCCAGGGCCCUCUGCCAGCCAGCAGGCCAGAAGAAGAAACACGAGUGUCAGAUCAGAUGGCCUCACAGUAAUCAGAGUGGCUGCUUUUGGCCAGCACAACACUGGGCAGAAUGUUUCCCUGGCCCUGCCAGAGCUGUCCAAUUCUGGAUUCCGCUGAAAUUACAUGUCCAGAGAAAUCACUGAAACGAAUGAAGCUCUUGCCAAAAAUCCAGGACUUGUCAUCGCAUUUUGUGGUGAAGAUGGUUGGCUAAUCAAGAUGACACUCAAUAACCAUUCAGAACUAGAUGAGCUAAUUCAGAUGAAGAAGCAGCUGAGAAAUACAUAAUCUGUUGAGAAGUGAAAAUGAAUCCCCUAAAUAAACUAAGUUGAAACAGUUUAAAAUAAAUGCUAAAUAAAUUAA